Long non-coding RNA from Hemicordylus capensis (graceful crag lizard), 1038 nucleotides. RefSeq lists it as uncharacterized. The record is from RefSeq and is a predicted model, not a curated record. The transcript has 6 exons. NCBI's taxonomy places the organism in Eukaryota, Metazoa, Chordata, Lepidosauria, Squamata, Cordylidae.
AGGCAAGCAGCAGCAGCGGGAGGGAGUGCUGGAGGUUUGAAGCUGAGCUGCUGUCUGGGGGCUGCAUAAAAGCAUUGCUUGUGUUGCUGACUGACUCAAGAAGGCAAGGGGAGGAAGCAGGUGCCAGAGAGACAGUGGAAGUGCUGAAGCUGAUGCAUGAGGGCAGUUCCGGGCAAACAAGUGGAAGCUUAAUCCAUAUAAAAGGGAAGUGCUCUGGACUGGAAAGACUACGGACCUGGUGAAAGCUGAACAUGCCUAGAUCCUAUGGAAGGUCAAUGCAAUAAAACCUAGGGCACUGCCACAUGGUCAGAAGAAACAAUUACACCAAGCCUGCUACCAAAGGAUGGAUUUUGCCCCAUUUUAGAUGAUCGCUUGCAAGGGUUUAAAGCAACUAUGGCCUCAUUCAGAUGACAUGUCAACACUCGGUUAUACUUACCUGAGGAGUGCAUUCCAUAGCCCAGAAGCAGCUAUUGAGAAGGCCCGCCUCUGCGUCGCCACCAGACGAACUACUGGGUAACUGGAGACGGACCUCCUCAGAUGACCUUAACGUGCAGUGGGGAUCAUGCAGAAGAAGUGCCUAGAAGCAUAAGGAUUUGCGGAUCUUGGAUCUCGUCUACAAAAAUGAUGCAAUCGACCAGAGUAUGUGCACACCAGGAGAAUGAGCAAGGAAGAGCUGGAUGAAGGACAGGAUUUCCUCAAGCAGCCGCCACUCUGAUUCAAACCCAAUCCAAAUCAAGAGGAAAAGGAAGUCUCUGUGUGUUUGUGUGUGUGUUUGUGUGUGUGUGUGCGUGUGCUGACUUCUUAACUUAUCAUUCACCCCUCCUGAAUAAUGUCUUCCUCUUCAAAGACACCAUUGGUGGAUUUAGGUUCUUAGUUUUUAGUUUUUAUUUAUAACUUUUAAUUUGAAACAUUUAACAUUUGUAACUUUUAAACAUGGUUUUAGUCUGGACUUCUAACUUUUUAAUUUUAUUUUUAUUGUUCUAUAUUGUAUCUAAAUAAAUAAAUAAAUUUAUUGUAUUGUAUCUAAAUAAAUUGUAU